Molecule: ribosomal RNA, 257 nt
Filed under: uncultured bacterium
Lineage: Bacteria
Description: partial small subunit ribosomal RNA
Rfam family: Bacterial small subunit ribosomal RNA
Source: RNAcentral
AGGACGAACGCUGGCGGCGUGGAUUAGGCAUGCAAGUCGCGCGACGGACCUUCGGGUUACGGAGCGGCGAACGGGUGAGUAACACGUGAACAACCUACCCCAUCAUUCCGGAUAAUUGGUCGAAAGACCUUGUAAUACGGGGGAGGAUCCGACCUGGGCAUCCAGGAUGGAUCGAACGAGUAAUCGGUGCUGGGAGGGGUUCGCGGCUUAUCAGGUAGUUGGUGGGGUAACGGCCUACCAAGCCUACGACGAGUAGC